CCCUAAAGUCAGUCCAGAAAUCUAAUAGCUCCACUUGAAAUCAAAGCAGCCAUGUUCUUUGAAACCACCAAUGUCAAACUGUGGAGGGUUUCUCAGUGCGCAGCACCAAGGCACUGCAGGAAGAGUCAUCUUUUCUAACUAAUUGGAGAAAUACAGGGUGCACAGGAAGUGCCCAGGGCAAGCAGCCAAGGACUAAAUCAUCUGGAAAGAUCUACAGGCCACGCACAAGUUCAAAAGGACAAGAGUAGUUGCCAGGGCUCUCUUUAGAGGGGAUUUGGCUACCGAGGGGGAUUCUCAACCCGCCUAACCUAGGCUGUCUUGUGGAGGAUGAAAACUAACAGAUGCCCUCGGCCAGCCCUACCUGCCUGGUGUGUGCCAGGCAGGCCCCAGGAAGGAAUUCAAAGCUGGAGGAUGCAUACCCCAUGCCAUUGGGGAAUUAAUUUCUUGAUAAGAGGGUGGGGUGUAUGCACGAAUUCUUUUCUCUUAGUUGUAAUGAUGUUAACUGUAUGCAACUCAGCCUGGGAAGUCUCGCGUGAGCCGGCUCUGAAGAAUGAAAGCGUAUGACUUGGAAGGAGAGGAGAUACGAAUCGGUAGCUAGCUAGGCUGGAGUCCACAUCGGAGUGGAUGGGGGUUCCCAGUUUUCAGCUGCGAAUACCAAAAGGCAGGCGGGUCUCUGAACUUUUCUGCCCUCCUCUCUCACUGCCCACAACAGGGCAGCAGCAGGGUCAACUGGCCAGACUUCUGUGUCCACAUGGCCUGUUGCCUCUAGCUCACCAGUAACACCUCGUGUCUCUGUUAAAGGGCAGCGCUUGGCAGGCUCGUGGAUCAGGGGCUGUGCCCGCCCGCCUGCCGCUUCCCACACAGGUCCACGUUCCCAUCCACCAAUGCCCCCGAAAUCCAUGGGAACGACCGACCGCAAGCUUGUGAAGGCGGGAAUAGAAGCUGGGAGAAAGUGUAGGAUGAGAGCCUGCCUGCAUCGCAGGAUGAGGGGGUGUCUAGCUGUCCCCUGCUCUGACAGGCAGUCAUCAUCUCCACCAGAAGCUCCCUGGAAGCUGCUGAGCCAGACGGAACCAAAAGCAUCUAAAAGGAUGUACCUCAGAGGGAUUCAGCCAUUCCCACUCCUACCCCUCCCUCAGAACCUCAUGAAGUUCCUGGCUUUCCUGAGUCUGUUGAGCUUGGUGCUGCAGAAGGCAGAGACAGCUUCUCUCCUAGGGGAGAGAGAAAGAGAAGAGCAGAGCCCUGAGGAAGGUGACACUUACGCGUCCCUGUAUGUGGGGAACCAUACCCUGAGCAUAGAGGACUACAACGAGGUCAUUGAUCUCAGCAACUAUGAAGAACUGGCAGACUAUGGAGACCAGAUCCCUGAGGCUAAAAUAAGCAAUCUGACUCUUCCAACAAGAACUAGUCCCACUAGCACUGUGGCUCAGAAGACAUUGUCACCAAACCUCACGAUGGCCGUACCUACCACCACUGGCCUACUAAACUCCCAGAGCAGUCAUGGCCUGCCUACCUGCCUGGUCUGUGUGUGCCUUGGCUCUUCUGUCUACUGUGAUGAUGCAGACCUGGAGAACAUCCCUCCUCUUCCCCAGAUGACCACCUACCUAUAUGCUCGCUUCAACCACAUCAGCCACAUCCAGGCUGGAGACUUCAAAGGGCUGACAAAACUGAGAAGGAUCGACCUCUCUGGCAACUCCAUCUCCUCCAUCCACAACGAUGCCCUCCGCCUGCUGCCUGCCCUGCAGGAUCUGAUCCUUCCAGAGAACCAGCUGGCAGCCCUGCCUGUGCUGCCCAGUGGCAUUGAGUUCCUGGACGUCCGCCUGAAUCGGCUGCAGAGCUCUGGGAUACAGCCUGAGGCAUUCGUGGUGAGUCAGGACAUCAGUCUGCCGUACGAAGUGCACCCUUCUCAUGUACCCUGACCUCACAGCUGUUCAUGCUCCACUCUUGUCUAGAGCCAAAAAUCAAUUCCCAUUUUUUUUCCUUUUUCCAUGUAUGGUUUAUUAAACAUUCUCUAGAAAAGGGUGUUUUACAUCAUGCCAUCUUGGUAGUGUCUACACCCUCUGCAAAUAGGAAACCUGGUGCUAUCAGGCCCCAGGAUCCUGUUCAUGGGGGCAGAACACAAGAAGCCAGUGCCGGCAGCUCCCCCUCCCCUCUGUGAGGAUGCUGCUCUAGCGUUGGCCUUUAUCUACGCAUUUGCUCCUCUUUGUACCAGCGCCCCAGACCAGCUCAUCCACUCUGUCCUUGAAAAUUCCAGUUUGUCUGUGGAGCUCACUCUGAUUCCAACUCCUACAAUCCAUCUUAAUGGCUUUGAAGUCUACCUCUAAAUAGUCAGUGACUCUCCAUGGUCAGAUUCACAAGAGACACAACUUGAUGCGUGUCUUAGUUAGGGUUUCUGUUGCUGUGAAGGGACACCAUGACCACGGCAACUCUUACAAAGGAGAACAUUUAACUGGGGGUUUGAUUAUAGGUCAGAUGCAUGGUGGCAUGCAGGCAGACAUGGUCCUGGAGGAGGAGCUGAGAGUCCUACAUCCAAAUUGGCAGGCAACAAGAAGAGAGAGUGAGCCACUAGGUCUAGCUUGAGUUUCUGAAAGCUCAAAGCCCACAGUGACACACUUCCUCCAACAAGGCCACACCUCCUAAGAACAUCAUGGGCCUAGGCAGGCUAUUUUUAUUCAAACCACUACAAGGGGUUACUGGCUAGAUUCGAAUCAUUUGACACAAAUGUGAUCCUAUAGGGCUACCCAAGGAACAGGGCUAGCCAGAGCCCAGGCUAUCCUCCACUGAAGACAAUGGGAGAAUAGACAAGACUGAUAUGUCCCAACUUGCUGGCUGCAGCACCUGGGAAGGGCCUUCAAAGACCAGUUGCUCGUGUGCAGCCUCUGUCUCUUUGAAGUACAGUCAAACCAUACAACAACAACAUUUCUAUCACUACUGGACUACAUGCAUGGUGGUGACCCCCUAAGACAGAGUCAUCUGUAACUUUGUAGCCCCUAAGACAAGAGUCAUCUAGCCCUCUUGGUUUGUGUAAGUAAUUUCACAAUGACACAUUUCUCAGAAUGCAUUCCUGUCCUUAAAGUAAGCAGUGUUCAAUCAUGUAGGCUCAUUUUUGCAAGCCAAUUCAUAUUUAGAAGUAUCAAAUAGAUAAAUAGUAAAAAAAAAAAAUUACCAUAGUGUGUGUGUGUGUGUGUGUGUGUGUGUGUGUGUGUGUGUGUGUGAACAAGGGUCUUGUUAUGUAGUCCAGGAUGCCCUCAAACUCAUUCUCCCCCUACCUCAGCUCCCUGAGUACAGAAAUAACAGGCCAUCAUCGCUGUGCUCACCAAGAGCUGUGUGCUCCUCAGCCUGUGCUCUUCUUCACAAACAUCCUCGCUCCCUGUCUCCUGUGUGCUGUGGGCCUACAGAGGGCCCAGAGAACAGGCUCCGGGCCCCUGGUGGGAUGCAAAACCUGCACACAUUAGCUUUCUUGGCUGUGCAGGAAGUACUGGGAUUGUCCGUACAGGGAGGUCUCUGGCUGUUCUAGCCCUCGAAACAUCGACUGUUUCCAUAUUAGGAGGUGCUUCUCUGCCUUCACUCAGCCCUAUUUUCUUGGCCAAGAAAAGGCAGGGGCUUUGCAGCCCUAGGACCUGAGCUCACUGAGUGAGUCACCUCUGAUCUUGUUUCCUCGUCUACAAAACAAGGGUGAUGAGGCCCACUCGACACAGCCGCUGCAGGACUGAACAGACCCAGCGUUUGCACAGAUCACAGGAUGGCUAAAUGCAGGCGCUGAAGAAGCUGCAGUUUCUCUACCUGGCCAA
Molecule: RNA transcript, 3788 nt
Organism: Mus musculus (house mouse)
Lineage: Eukaryota; Metazoa; Chordata; Mammalia; Rodentia; Muridae
Gene: Optc
Gene name: opticin
Exons: 7
Source: RefSeq, marked validated